AUUGAACGCUGGCGGCAUGCUUUACACAUGCAAGUCGAACGGCAGCGCGGGCUUCGGCCUGGCGGCGAGUGGCGAACGGGUGAGUAGUACAUCGGAACGUGCCCAGUAGUGGGGAUAGCUCGGCGAAAGCCGGAUUAAUACCGCAUACGACCUGAGGGUGAAAGCGGGGGAUCUUCGGACCUCGCGCUAUUGGCGCGGCCGAUGGCAGAUUAGCUAGUUGGUGGGGUAAAGGCCUACCAAGGCGACGAUCUGUAGCUGGUCUGAGAGGACGACCAGCCACACUGGGACUGAGACACGGCCCAGACUCCUACGGGAGGCAGCAGUGGGGAAUUUUGGACAAUGGGCGAAAGCCUGAUCCAGCAAUGCCGCGUGUGUGAUGAAGGCCUUCGGGUUGUAAAGCACUUUUGGCGGGAACGAAAAGGACUGUGCCAAUACCACGGUUCGAUGACGGUACCCGCAGAAUAAGCACCGGCUAACUACGUG
This 483-nucleotide ribosomal RNA is filed under the name uncultured bacterium. RNAcentral describes it as "partial 16S ribosomal RNA". It matches the Rfam family "Bacterial small subunit ribosomal RNA", at positions 29 to 507 of the family's 1533-position model. The record is from RNAcentral.